AGGAAGUGGUCUCUGCAGAUCUUGUGUUAACAUCUCUUACAAUCCAUACUAAUCCAAGAUAUUUACGUGCCAUCCAGCUUUAUUUCUAACAUUACUUGUUUAUUUACAGAACUAUCUUGUCAUCAUGAGAGCGAAGUGGCGAAAGAAGCGCAUGCGCAGGCUGAAGCGUAAAAGGCGAAAGAUGAGGCAGAGGUCCAAGUAAAGCGGCCGCCGUGCGCUGAAGCUGGGAGUGCUCCUCCACUUCAAUCUCUUCAGCACGAGUCUGUUGGAAGCCCAACUGAAGCUCCACUCAAGCACCAUCUAUGAGGCCUGCUUUCCCUGAAUGAGGAUUUGGUUUUCCAUCACCUGGUUCUGCGGCAGAAGCAUCCUGGUCUUGAUGACCAAGUGAACUGUUUUGGACAUUCCUCAGACCUGUCAGCUCAGCGUGUUUUUGUUAAUGUCUUCAAUAAAUCUUUUUGGUUUAAAACAA
Molecule: long non-coding RNA, 469 nt
Organism: Rhinichthys klamathensis goyatoka
Lineage: Eukaryota; Metazoa; Chordata; Actinopteri; Cypriniformes; Leuciscidae
Exons: 3
Source: RefSeq, a predicted model, not a curated record